This 1538-nucleotide ribosomal RNA is filed under the name Escherichia coli. Its description in RNAcentral is "bacterial SSU rRNA". It matches the Rfam family "Bacterial small subunit ribosomal RNA". The record is from RNAcentral. Lineage: Bacteria; Pseudomonadati; Pseudomonadota; Gammaproteobacteria; Enterobacterales; Enterobacteriaceae. RNAcentral also lists the same sequence under 2 other names.
UUGAAGAGUUUGAUCAUGGCUCAGAUUGAACGCUGGCGGCAGGCCUAACACAUGCAAGUCGAACGGUAACAGGAAUCAGCUUGCUGAUUCGCUGACGAGUGGCGGACGGGUGAGUAAUGUCUGGGAAACUGCCUGAUGGAGGGGGAUAACUACUGGAAACGGUAGCUAAUACCGCAUAACGUCGCAAGACCAAAGAGGGGGACCUUCGGGCCUCUUGCCAUCGGAUGUGCCCAGAUGGGAUUAGCUAGUAGGUGGGGUAACGGCUCACCUAGGCGACGAUCCCUAGCUGGUCUGAGAGGAUGACCAGCCACACUGGAACUGAGACACGGUCCAGACUCCUACGGGAGGCAGCAGUGGGGAAUAUUGCACAAUGGGCGCAAGCCUGAUGCAGCCAUGCCGCGUGUAUGAAGAAGGCCUUCGGGUUGUAAAGUACUUUCAGCGGGGAGGAAGGGAGUAAAGUUAAUACCUUUGCUCAUUGACGUUACCCGCAGAAGAAGCACCGGCUAACUCCGUGCCAGCAGCCGCGGUAAUACGGAGGGUGCAAGCGUUAAUCGGAAUUACUGGGCGUAAAGCGCACGCAGGCGGUUUGUUAAGUCAGAUGUGAAAUCCCCGGGCUCAACCUGGGAACUGCAUCUGAUACUGGCAAGCUUGAGUCUCGUAGAGGGGGGUAGAAUUCCAGGUGUAGCGGUGAAAUGCGUAGAGAUCUGGAGGAAUACCGGUGGCGAAGGCGGCCCCCUGGACGAAGACUGACGCUCAGGUGCGAAAGCGUGGGGAGCAAACAGGAUUAGAUACCCUGGUAGUCCACGCCGUAAACGAUGUCGACUUGGAGGUUGUGCCCUUGAGGCGUGGCUUCCGGAGCUAACGCGUUAAGUCGACCGCCUGGGGAGUACGGCCGCAAGGUUAAAACUCAAAUGAAUUGACGGGGGCCCGCACAAGCGGUGGAGCAUGUGGUUUAAUUCGAUGCAACGCGAAGAACCUUACCUGGUCUUGACAUCCACGGAAGUUUUCAGAGAUGAGAAUGUGCCUUCGGGAACCGUGAGACAGGUGCUGCAUGGCUGUCGUCAGCUCGUGUUGUGAAAUGUUGGGUUAAGUCCCGCAACGAGCGCAACCCUUAUCCUUUGUUGCCAGCGGUCCGGCCGGGAACUCAAAGGAGACUGCCAGUGAUAAACUGGAGGAAGGUGGGGAUGACGUCAAGUCAUCAUGGCCCUUACGACCAGGGCUACACACGUGCUACAAUGGCGCAUACAAAGAGAAGCGACCUCGCGAGAGCAAGCGGACCUCAUAAAGUGCGUCGUAGUCCGGAUUGGAGUCUGCAACUCGACUCCAUGAAGUCGGAAUCGCUAGUAAUCGUGGAUCAGAAUGCCACGGUGAAUACGUUCCCGGGCCUUGUACACACCGCCCGUCACACCAUGGGAGUGGGUUGCAAAAGAAGUAGGUAGCUUAACCUUCGGGAGGGCGCUUACCACUUUGUGAUUCAUGACUGGGGUGAAGUCGUAACAAGGUAACCGUAGGGGAACCUGCGGUUGGAUCACCUCCUU